GACGAACGCUGGCGGCGUGCCUAAUACAUGCAAGUAGAACGCUGAAGGAGGAGCUUGCUUCUCUGGAUGAGUUGCGAACGGGUGAGUAACGCGUAGGUAACCUGCCUGGUAGCGGGGGAUAACUAUUGGAAACGAUAGCUAAUACCGCAUAAGAGUAGAUGUUGCAUGACAUUUGCUUAAAAGGUGCAAUUGCAUCACUACCAGAUGGACCUGCGUUGUAUUAGCUAGUUGGUGGGGUAACGGCUCACCAAGGCGACGAUACAUAGCCGACCUGAGAGGGUGAUCGGCCACACUGGGACUGAGACACGGCCCAGACGCCUACGGGAGGCAGCAGUAGGGAAUCUUCGGCAAUGGACGGAAGUCUGACCGAGCAACGCCGCGUGAGUGAAGAAGGUUUUCGGAUCGUAAAGCUCGGUUGUAAGAGAAGAACGAGUGUGAGAGUGGAAAGUUCACACUGUGACGGUAUCUUACCAGAAAGGGACGGCUAACUACGUG
RNAcentral lists this ribosomal RNA (495 nucleotides) under uncultured bacterium. Its description in RNAcentral is "partial 16S ribosomal RNA". It matches the Rfam family "Bacterial small subunit ribosomal RNA", at positions 28 to 507 of the family's 1533-position model. The record is from RNAcentral.